RNAcentral lists this ribosomal RNA (587 nucleotides) under Helicoma morganii. RNAcentral's name for it is "eukaryotic LSU rRNA". It matches the Rfam family "Eukaryotic large subunit ribosomal RNA", at positions 48 to 656 of the family's 3401-position model. Lineage: Eukaryota; Fungi; Ascomycota; Dothideomycetes; Tubeufiales; Tubeufiaceae. The record is from RNAcentral.
AAGCGGAGGAAAAGAAACCAACAGGGAUUGCCUCAGUAACGGCGAGUGAAGCGGCAACAGCUCAAAUUUGAAAUCUGGCUUCGGUCCGAGUUGUAAUUUGUAGAGGAUGCUUCGGCUUUCGCACCGGUCUAAGUUCCUUGGAACAGGACGUCACAGAGGGUGAGAAUCCCGUUUGUGGCCGGUGCUUCCGCCAUGUGAAGCUCCUUCGACGAGUCGAGUUGUUUGGGAAUGCAGCUCUAAAUGGGAGGUAAAUUUCUUCUAAAGCUAAAUACCGGCCAGAGACCGAUAGCGCACAAGUAGAGUGAUCGAAAGAUGAAAAGCACUUUGGAAAGAGAGUUAAAAAGUACGUGAAAUUGUUGAAAGGGAAGCGCUUGCGACCAGACUUGCCCGCGGAUGCUCAACCGGUCCUUCGGCCGGUGCACUCUUCCGCGGUCAGGCCAGCAUCAGUUUGGGCGGUCGGAUAAAGGCCUCGGGAAUGUGGCUCUCUUCGGGGAGUGUUAUAGCCCUUGGUGCAAUACGGCCCGCCUGGACUGAGGCCCGCGCUUCGGCUAGGAUGCUGGCGUAAUGGUCGUAAGCGGCCCGUCUUG